This 1242-nucleotide long non-coding RNA is filed under the name Linum usitatissimum (flax). RNAcentral's name for it is "long non-coding RNA (LUSI_LNC008184)". Lineage: Eukaryota; Viridiplantae; Streptophyta; Magnoliopsida; Malpighiales; Linaceae. The record is from RNAcentral.
UAGUGAACACUUAAUUUAUUAAAUAUUUUUUUAAGAUAGAUGAGGCGAAAUCGCUCUUACAAAAGAGAAAAUAUAUAAAUAUAACAUAAGAGUUUAUAUAUGAGGUGUCACUAGAUUCGAACUUUAUAAUGUAAAUUUUCAAUCACAUAAUACAACUAAGUGCACGCAAGGAUUUCAAAUUUAUUAAACACACACAAAUUAUUUAUUGACCAAGACUGUCACGUGGCAGCUGAUGACAGAAGAUCAAGACUCGCAAUACCUUAUCAUUAUCAUUAUUCAUUACCAUGCAAGCAGCUGGGACUUUUGCGUCAUUCCAUGUCUCUAACUCCAAGGGUUCCACCAGUCAUGCUCGGGCUCAUCUCCACCGUCGACUUCCUUCCCGGUAUGCAUAUCCAGCCUCUUCCACGCUUCCUUAUCAUGAGGUACCAGUGUGACCCCAUACUUUGACCACCCGAAGCAGUCGUUGACCCUCAGCUUCCUGAUGUGGGCCCCACCCACGUCAACGAAGCAUAGACCCUGACGGUUGACCAGCAGAUGAGUCUUGUUCCUCUUCUCCCUGUCGUUUUCUCUCACGAUGGUGAGGUCGUUGAACAGCUCCGUCAGCUUGUCCCCCUGAAUGGUUACGCCAUUAACCACCAGGGCCUGGUGAGACCAGGGUUCUGCAUGAUGCUGGCCAGGAUCGUUGCUGAUCCUGGCCAAUCAACGAAGCACAGACCCUGACGGUUGACCAGCAGAUGAGUCUUGUUCCUCUUCUCCCUGUCGUUCUCUCUCACGAUGGUGAGGUCGUUGAACAGCUCCGUCAGCUUGUCCCCCUGGAUGGUUACGCCGUUAACCUCCAGGGCUUGGUGAGACCAGGGUUCUGCCUGAUGCUGGCCAGGAUCGUUGCUGAUCCUGGCCAGAGGCAUAGCGCUCCAGCGACUGGCUUUACUGCGGCCCUGGUCUUCUGCUAUGGCGAAGCUGUCAAGGUUGCCGUUGUACUCGGACACGUAGAUGACCUCGAUGAUGUUGUCGUAGCGGUCCCUUUCAUCGGUGAUGUUUGUGUGGAUGAAUUGGUCGUCUUUGGCUAAGGUGAAUGUUUUUGGUGUUGCCAUUUUUGGGGGUGUUUUGCUUUGUUUUGGUAGUAGGGUUUGAAGGAAGGAUGUGAUAUGAUGAAUGGUUCAUUUACUGUAUUUAUAGGCCCUCAGCCUCCAUGCGAAUCACGAGAAGUGUGGAUCACGAGAUGUAAUAAUGGUGAUGGUAGGG